Molecule: long non-coding RNA, 574 nt
Filed under: Bos taurus (domestic cattle)
Lineage: Eukaryota; Metazoa; Chordata; Mammalia; Artiodactyla; Bovidae
Description: long non-coding RNA NONBTAT025149
Source: RNAcentral
CCCACAGCAGUAGUAUAUUUAUUGUGCUGAAAUCAGGUAGCAGGGAAUGAAUAGCUCUAGGGAACCAGUACAGAAUGUUCACAAGAUUUACAUUCUGAAAUAGUCUGCACAAACAGCAUUACAUCCUGCACAUGCAGUUUUGAUAUCUUAAAGAUACUUAGAAAUACUCAUGCCUUUUUAUUUUUUGGUCACAAGAUCUCUGUGCAAUACCCACUAGCAAUUUAACCUAUGUAAUAAGACAUAGUACAUGUUCUUUCCCAGUCAAUUUCCAGUUGUGUUUUUACAUUACAUGAAAUACUUCAUUGGUAAAGAGCAAAUUUAAUUUUCUGGUUCUGACUACUCUCACUUUUACUCACUUUAUGUCUUAGCAAUUAACACCUUGUAAUAAUCAAGCAUUGAAUUUAAUGAUCUUUAGCACCAAGGAGUCAAGAAUAUCGCACCAAAACGGGUUUACACUUCGUAUCUAGUUACAAAUAAGAUCUUGCAACUCUGACACAGAGAAAUAUCACUCCAAAAUUAAACACAUUGAAAGAGAAGGAUAAUUUCACAAAAAAGCUUGCUGUACGCUAUUUGU